GCGGAAGGCCGGAUGACCGCGAGCGGUUCGCCGCGCGAGGAAAGUCCGGACUCCAUGAAGCGACGGUGCCGGGUAACGCCCGGCCGGGGCAACCCGAGGGAAAGCGCCACAGAAAUCAGACUACCCCCGCCCGUCGGGGGAAAAGGUGAAAAGGUGGGGUAAGAGCCCACCGCGGACCCGGCAACGGGGACGGCAUGGCAAGCCCCACCGGGAGCAAUGCCGAAUAGGGGCCUCGCGCGGGGGCCGGUCCGGCAACGGAGACCGCCCGCAGGGAUGCUUCAGCCCGAGAGGCCCGGGUUGGCAGCUUGAUCCCGCCGGUAACGGCGGGGCCAGAGGAAUGGUCAUCGAGGGGGCGAGAGCCCCGGAACAGAAUCCGGCUUACAGGCCUUCCGCGCAU
This 397-nucleotide RNase P RNA is filed under the name Albidovulum sp. RNAcentral describes it as "RNase P RNA component class A". It matches the Rfam family "Bacterial RNase P class A". From Rfam's summary of the family: Ribonuclease P (RNase P) is a ubiquitous endoribonuclease, found in archaea, bacteria and eukarya as well as chloroplasts and mitochondria. Its best characterised activity is the generation of mature 5'-ends of tRNAs by cleaving the 5'-leader elements of precursor-tRNAs. RNAcentral also lists the same sequence under 1 other name. Lineage: Bacteria; Pseudomonadati; Pseudomonadota; Alphaproteobacteria; Rhodobacterales; Paracoccaceae. The record is from RNAcentral.